This 433-nucleotide ribosomal RNA is filed under the name uncultured bacterium. RNAcentral describes it as "partial 16S ribosomal RNA". It matches the Rfam family "Bacterial small subunit ribosomal RNA", at positions 29 to 507 of the family's 1533-position model. The record is from RNAcentral.
AACGAACGCUGGCGGCAGGCCUAACACAUGCAAGUCGAGCGGACCCUUCGGGGUUAGCGGCGGACGGGUGAGUAACGCGUGGGAAUAUGCCCUUCUCUACGGAAUAGUCCUGGGAAACUGGGGGUAAUACCGUAUACGCCCUUUGGGGGAAAGAUCUAUCGGGGAAGGAUUAGCCCGCGUUGGAUUAGGUAGUUGGUGGGGUAAUGGCCUACCAAGCCGACGAUCCAUAGCUGGUUUGAGAGGAUGAUCAGCCACACUGGGACUGAGACACGGCCCAGACUCGUACGGGAAGCAGCAGUGGGGAAUCUUAGACAAUGGGGGCAACCCUGAUCUAGCCAUGCCGCGUGAGUGAUGAAGGCCUUAGGGUUGUAAAGCUCUUUCAGCUGGGAAGAUAAUGACGGUACCAGCAGAAGAAGCCCCGGCUAACUCCGUG